CGGAGAGGGCGAAGCCUGAUCCGCAAUGCCGCGUGCAGGAAGAAGGCCUUCGGGCCGUAAACUGCUUUUGUACGGAACGAAAAGGUCUGCCCUAAUACGGCGGGCCCAUGACGGUACCGUAAGAAUAAGCACCGGCUAACUACGUGCCAGCAGCCGCGGUAAUACGUAGGGUGCGAGCGUUAAUCGGAAUUACUGGGCGUAAAGCGUGCGCAGGCGGUUAUACAAGACAGGCGUGAAAUCCCCGGGCUUAACCUGGGAAUGGCGCCUGUGACUGUAUAGCUAGAGUGUGUCAGAGGGGGGUAGAAUUCCACGUGUAGCAGUGAAAUGCGUAGAUAUGUGGAGGAAUACCAAUGGCGAAGGCAGCCCCCUGGGAUAACACUGACGCUCAUGCACGAAA
This 397-nucleotide ribosomal RNA is filed under the name uncultured bacterium. Its description in RNAcentral is "bacterial SSU rRNA". It matches the Rfam family "Bacterial small subunit ribosomal RNA", at positions 365 to 758 of the family's 1533-position model. The record is from RNAcentral.